CCUUGUUUCUUGGGAAUUACACAUUGAACUGUUUGGGAGCAGAGGAGGUUUUGGCUGCAACUUUCUUUCAAAAGGUUCAGAAAAAAUAGUAUGUAUGUACAGAGAAUGAUAAGACAAACGUGGUAGAAUGCUAACAUCUGAGGAAUCUGAGUGAAGGCUCUAUGGGGGUUGUUUGUAAUAUUCUUGCAACUCUUGUACAUCUGAAAUGAUUUCAAAAUGAACACGUUUUUCAAUGUGCUAUGAGUUUGAACUGAAUAUGUGUACUUGGCUCUUUCUGACAAUGAAUGGUUGGACUCCCCACCCCUACAGGGAAGGGACUGGGGCUGUCUUGUCUCUGGGAGUGUUCUGAGGUGGGUGGACCAUCUACUCUGGCCCACUCUGACACAUGCAGAUCCACAGAGAGAUGUAUGUAGUAAGAAGUAUCUUGGUCUAUUGUGCUGUUGCAGAGGGGAAACACUUAAAUCAAAUCAAAGUUCAUCUUUUAGAACGCUGACUGACACUGGCCCAUUGCUUUUGUCUCUAAUUCAGCUUUUGGGUAUGAUGCUGCCACCGUCACAGUCUCCUGAAAUCGAUGAUUCCAGAGCACGGAGCUUCCGUAUGACAGAAGGCUAUACAGGGUAGCAACAAUAAAGCCCUUUAGCCACAGAGCCUUGCAAUGAAGGGCAAGAACAGCAAGUCAUGAGUCUUCACCACCAUGUGAAUAAGCUGCCGACCCACAGCGCCACAGGAACACAGGCUCUGAGCCCACAUGCCCACAGUGCAGAUAAUGACCUCAGCCUUCAAAGGGGAGAAAGAAGUGCCCCCCAAAACAGUCCUUUGAAACCCUCCUUCGUCAUUUGUGACAGCACAAUUUGCUGUUUCGUUUCAGUUUCUUGUGAAGACGCCUUCUGAAUCAGUGCUCUAUUUUGAGCACAAAGUCAAGAUGUCUGUGGCUUCAGCCAAAGAGGUUCACACGGAAGACCUGCUGCGCUGGUUGCUGAUCCAAGCCUGGACCGUUCCUGAAGCUCUUCUGGGCAAGAGCAUCCCUAGAAUGAUGCUUCCAACGAGCGCCCGAGAGGCUCCUCUCCUGGACAUGACUGAGUUGCACCCAUCGCCCGCCGUGGCACCCACUGGAACCUUGUACAGUAGUGGCUUCUCACAGAUGCAGCUGCACUUCUCCACUGGAGGGCCCAGGGAGCCUGACUCACACAUGGGACCUGGGUCUGAGGUGUAUCCUAACUUUCUUCUGGAGGCCUCCAGUGGGGCUGUGCCACUACUGCCCACAGUGAUAAAGCCUGUAAAGCACCCUGUGCAUCAACUUACUUCUCUUCUCUGUUUCACAUCCACGCCCCUCCCAGCGCUUCCCAGCAUCAGUACUUAA
RNAcentral lists this long non-coding RNA (1360 nucleotides) under Macaca mulatta (Rhesus monkey). RNAcentral describes it as "lncRNA (ENSMMUG00000050424.1)". Lineage: Eukaryota; Metazoa; Chordata; Mammalia; Primates; Cercopithecidae. The record is from RNAcentral.